GACGAACGCUGGCGGCGUGCCUAACACAUGCAAGUCGAACGGACGAGAUGGCUUCGGCCAUCGAGUUAGUGGCGGACGGGUGAGUAACGCGUGAGCAACCUGCCUCACAGAGGGGAUAACACACGGAAACGUGUGCUAAUACCGCAUAAUUCAUACUUGUGGCAUCACGGGUAUGGCAAAGGAGCAAUCCGCUGUGAGAUGGGCUCGCGUCCGAUUAGAUAGUUGGCGGGGUAACGGCCCACCAAGUCUGCGAUCGGUAGCCGGACUGAGAGGUUGAUCGGCCACAUUGGGACUGAGACACGGCCCAAACUCCUACGGGAGGCAGCAGUGAGGGAUAUUGCACAAUGGGCGAAAGCCUGACGCAGCGACGCCGCGUGAGCGAAGAAGGCCUCGGUCGUAAGCUCUGUCCUUGGGAGAAGGCGAAGACUGACGGUACCAACGAAGAAAGACCCGGCGUAACUACGUGCCAGCAGCCGCGGUAACGAUACUCG
This 491-nucleotide ribosomal RNA is filed under the name uncultured bacterium. RNAcentral's name for it is "bacterial SSU rRNA". It matches the Rfam family "Bacterial small subunit ribosomal RNA", at positions 28 to 529 of the family's 1533-position model. The record is from RNAcentral.